Molecule: ribosomal RNA, 492 nt
Filed under: uncultured bacterium
Lineage: Bacteria
Description: partial 16S ribosomal RNA
Rfam family: Bacterial small subunit ribosomal RNA
Source: RNAcentral
AGUGAACGCUGGCGGUAGGCCUAACACAUGCAAGUCGAACGGCAGCACAGUAAGAGCUUGCUCUUACGGGUGGCGAGUGGCGGACGGGUGAGGAAUACAUCGGAAUCUACUUUUUCGUGGGGGAUAACGUAGGGAAACUUACGCUAAUACCGCAUACGACCUACGGGUGAAAGCAGGGGAUCUUCGGACCUUGCGCGAUUGAAUGAGCCGAUGUCGGAUUAGCUAGUUGGCGGGGUAAAGGCCCACCAAGGCGACGAUCCGUAGCUGGUCUGAGAGGAUGACCAGCCACACUGGAACUGAGACACGGUCCAGACUCCUACGGGAGGCAGCAGUGGGGAAUAUUGGACAAUGGGCGCAAGCCUGAUCCAGCCAUACCGCGUGGGUGAAGAAGGCCUUCGGGUUGUAAAGCCCUUUUGUUGGGAAAGAAAAGCAGCAGGUUAAUACCCAGCUGUUCUGACGGUACCCAAAGAAUAAGCACCGGCUAACUUCGUG